CUAGGCGACGAUCCCUAGCUGGUCUGAGAGGAUGACCAGCCACACUGGAACUGAGACACGGUCCAGACUCCUACGGGAGGCAGCAGUGGGGAAUAUUGCACAAUGGGCGCAAGCCUGAUGCAGCCAUGCCGCGUGUAUGAAGAAGGCCUUCGGGUUGUAAAGUACUUUCAGCGGGGAGGAAGGGAGUAAAGUUAAUACCUUUGCUCAUUGACGUUACCCGCAGAAGAAGCACCGGCUAACUCCGUGCCAGCAGCCGCGGUAAUACGGAGGGUGCAAGCGUUAAUCGGAAUUACUGGGCGUAAAGCGCACGCAGGCGGUUUGUUAAGUCAGAUGUGAAAUCCCCGGGCUCAACCUGGGAACUGCAUCUGAUACUGGCAAGCUUGAGUCUCGUAGAGGGGGGUAGAAUUCCAGGUGUAGCGGUGAAAUGCGUAGAGAUCUGG
This 440-nucleotide ribosomal RNA is filed under the name Escherichia coli. Its description in RNAcentral is "bacterial SSU rRNA". It matches the Rfam family "Bacterial small subunit ribosomal RNA", at positions 269 to 701 of the family's 1533-position model. The record is from RNAcentral. Lineage: Bacteria; Pseudomonadati; Pseudomonadota; Gammaproteobacteria; Enterobacterales; Enterobacteriaceae.